Melopsittacus undulatus (budgerigar) is the source of this 760-nucleotide long non-coding RNA. RefSeq lists it as uncharacterized. The transcript has 3 exons. NCBI's taxonomy places the organism in Eukaryota, Metazoa, Chordata, Aves, Psittaciformes, Psittaculidae. The record is from RefSeq and is a predicted model, not a curated record.
CAGGCUUCAGACUCUGAGCAGGAGACUUGCAUCUUUUUCUCGCUGUGUGAAUUGCUGCAAAGAGUGCCUGGGCAAACAAUGGCAUCUGGAUGUGGCCACAUGAGCUGCUUGUAGAAUAAGGUUUGCAUCCAGGUGUUUAUGGACAUCUGCCUCCACAGCUGAUACAUCAACCCAGGAACUCCCAAAACCACAUGCUAUGUACUUAACAGGAUGAGGAAGAAGUGAAAGCUGAAGUACAAGUGAAAAUGAAACAGUCUGUGCAUAAGGAUGUGGCCAGAGCUGAGGGAUGCAAGACAGAGUUGAUUGUUUCCUCACUUCAUGGGUGAGCAGGACUGACAGUUUUGUGUUUAAUGUUUGCCAUCUAAAUUUCACCAUUAGGUAUCUGAAAAUCAGGAGUAGAAAAGAAAGAAAAUGAGAACCACACUGAUAAUGCAGAAUAAUUUUAAUGGGAAGGGAUAGAACAAAACUGCUAGGAAAAAUAACAGUGUAAAAGGCACAAUUCUAGACACAGAUUCUGUCACUCAUAUGCUUGCAUUAACCUCUAUAUUCAAGUAAUAACUUUCAUCAAAUACUGUUUCCUUGACAUUAGAUGCAGAGGAUCAAUUUCUUUUUCCCCACACUUUUCUUGCAGAAACUAAAAGUCAGAUACAAAUGAUGUGUAUAUUUAUCCAAAGGAAAAGUGAACUUCCUGGUGACUGAUUAUCUCUAAUUACCUGCCUGAGAAUGUACCUGAGAGGGAGAACACCCUAGGAACUUAAGG